This 662-nucleotide ribosomal RNA is filed under the name uncultured bacterium. RNAcentral describes it as "bacterial SSU rRNA". It matches the Rfam family "Bacterial small subunit ribosomal RNA", at positions 56 to 716 of the family's 1533-position model. The record is from RNAcentral.
UGCAGUCGAACGGUAACAGCACUUCGGUGGCUGACGAGUGGCGAACGGGUGAGUAAUACAUCGGAACGUGCCCGAGAGUGGGGGAUAACGCAGCGAAAGCUGUGCUAAUACCGCAUACGAUCUACGGAUGAAAGCAGGGGACCGCAAGGCCUUGCGCUCAUGGAGCGGCCGAUGGCAGAUUAGGUAGUUGGUGGGAUAAAAGCUUACCAAGCCGACGAUCUGUAGCUGGUCUGAGAGGACGACCAGCCACACUGGGACUGAGACACGGCCCAGACUCCUACGGGAGGCAGCAGUGGGGAAUUUUGGACAAUGGGCGAAAGCCUGAUCCAGCCAUGCCGCGUGCAGGAUGAAGGCCUUCGGGUUGUAAACUGCUUUUGUACGGAACGAAAAGGUCUUUUCUAAUAAAGAAGGCUCAUGACGGUACCGUAAGAAUAAGCACCGGCUAACUACGUGCCAGCAGCCGCGGUAAUACGUAGGGUGCAAGCGUUAAUCGGAAUUACUGGGCGUAAAGCGUGCGCAGGCGGUUAUAUAAGACAGAUGUGAAAUCCCCGGGCUCAACCUGGGAACUGCAUUAGUGACUGUAUAGCUAGAGUGCGGCAGAGGGGGAUGGAAUUCCGCGUGUAGCAGUGAAAUGCGUAGAUAUGCGGAGGAACACCGAUGGC